This 668-nucleotide long non-coding RNA is filed under the name Homo sapiens (human). RNAcentral's name for it is "HSALNT0363401". The record is from RNAcentral. Lineage: Eukaryota; Metazoa; Chordata; Mammalia; Primates; Hominidae.
GCUCCCUUCCUUCCGCGGCUUCUUCUUUCCCUGUGUCCGAAGAGGUCUGCGUUGCGACUUACGUGGUAGUGCUUGGAAGCCCCUGCACCCUGAGCUGAUGAAGUUGUGCUGGGUCUACUGGGAAGGAGGAUGGGAAGACGGAAUCCCAGGUUGUGACAUCAUGAUCCUGAGGGCACUCCAAGUGGAUGAAGAGCAGCUCCUGCCCGCUGCUGGCAGCCUCAGGCCCAGGGGCCUCCACCCCGCAGAGGCCUGAGCCAAGCUCGCCAUUCGCCCUGGGCUGGAUCUCAGCUCCGGAAGGAGACGUCGAGAAGAGGCUGCCAAAGAGCCUGGAGGGGCCACUUCAGAGCAGCGCCUUGAAGAGGAAGGAGAGGGAGGCUCCACAGGAAAGUCCCAGGGCCAGGAAGAAGGUCAUGAGGGCGCCGGCCACCUCCCUCUCGUGUGGCAGCACCUGCCUAGAACACCCGGGAACAGGAGCUCUUAGAAAAUGCUGGGUCUAAAUCUGGACCCAGCUCCACUGCCCUCUGCCCAUCCAGUCUGGGCUCUGACCCAACCCCUCUGUCACCAUAACUGGCCCCUUCUUUCCGGGCCUCAGUUUCCUGGUCUGUAAAUGAGGCUGCUGGAUAAGGAUGUCUCUCAGGGCCUCUGAGUCUAACAUGAUGGGAUUCCAG